Molecule: ribosomal RNA, 440 nt
Filed under: uncultured bacterium
Lineage: Bacteria
Description: partial 16S ribosomal RNA
Rfam family: Bacterial small subunit ribosomal RNA
Source: RNAcentral
CUACGGGUUGCAGCAGUGAGGAAUAUUGCACAAUGGGGGCAACCCUGAUGCAGCAAUGCCGCGUGGAUGAUGAAGGCUUUCGAGUUGUAAAAUCCUUUUCGGGGUGAAGAGAGAGGACGGUAGCCCCGGAAUAAGUCCCGGCUAACUACGUGCCAGCAGCCGCGGUAAAACGUAGGGGGCGAGCGUUAUCCGGAAUUACUGGGCGUAAAGCGCAUGCAGGCGGAUGGGUAAGAUAGACGUGAAAGCUCCCGGCUUAACUGGGAGAGGACGGAUAUGACUGCCAGCCUUGAGUGAGGUAGAGGAGAGCGGAAUUCCCGGUGUAGUGGUGGAAUGCGUAGAGAUCGGGAGGAACACCAGUGGCGAAAGCGGCUCUCUGGGCCUUAACUGACGCUCAGAUGCGAAAGCGUGGGUAGCGAACGGGAUUAGAUACCCCUGUAGUC